UGUUUCUUAGGUUGGACAGUAGAUGGA
RNAcentral lists this non-coding RNA (27 nucleotides) under Bombyx mori (domestic silkworm). Lineage: Eukaryota; Metazoa; Arthropoda; Insecta; Lepidoptera; Bombycidae. RNAcentral also lists the same sequence under 1 other name. The record is from RNAcentral.